UUUCUGUUGCCAGCACUAAUCCUUUAGAUAUUGGCAGUUUAUGCAUCGUGUGUUUUAAAAUGAAGUCGCAGAUCGAGCGCAGUUCAAGACCCCAAGCCCAUAAGUCACCAUCAGGCCCAGCCAGACUGGCAGCAGGCAACGGGUCGCAGUCUCCAGCUCCAGCUCCAGCUCCAGCUCCAGCUCUGUCUCUCUCUUGCUUUUCGAGCUCUGGUGUGUGUGUGUGUGUCAGUUCAGUGUUUGCUCGCCCGCUUUAAUUAACAUAUGCUAACAAGUUGGCCAUGCCGCACUUUGUCACUUCCAAGAGCUCGAAACUUCAGCCACAGACAGAGCCAGAAACCAGAGAGUCAGCGACAGAGCUCAUAGCUCCAACGCUCAAGAGCCGCGUCGUGGGGGCACUUUGGUGGUGUUGGGGGUGGGC
RNAcentral lists this long non-coding RNA (418 nucleotides) under Drosophila guanche. Lineage: Eukaryota; Metazoa; Arthropoda; Insecta; Diptera; Drosophilidae. The record is from RNAcentral.